UUGUGGCUAUUGCAGGCGAUUGAAUGGCUGCCUCGUCCAAAGAGUGCACAUUCUGUUUUGCUGUAAUUAAUUUUACGUUACUUGGUGAUUUACGCGUGAAAGAUACUCUGCCUCGUAUAAUUUGGAAUAUUGAAAUCACAGCAACAUCAGCAGCAACAGCAAUAGCGAUAGCAAUAGAACUAGCAAUAUACGAAAUUUUGAAAUGGAAAAGAGCGCGGACGGAUUAUUGUUUCGCGCAGAGAGAAAUAAUGGGGCUAAUGAAGGAACAAUGGGAAUGGUUUGCGAUGAAAAAGUGGCCAUUUUGGAUGCUGGGGCACAAUAUGGUAAAGUGAUAGACCGAAAAAUUCGUGAACUAAAUGUUCACAGUGAAAUUUUGCCUCUUGAUACAUCCGCGUUUACCAUUCAGGAAAAAGGCUACAAAGCUAUUAUAAUUUCUGGAGGGCCAAGUUCCGUAUACGCAGAAGAUGCACCUAAAUACGAUGCAGACAUUUUCAGAAUAGGAAUACCAGUUUUAGGUAUUUGUUAUGGGAUGCAGAUGAUGAACAAAGAAUUUGGUGGUACGGUGAUCAGCAAGGAGGGUCGAGAAGAUGGUCAGUUUCCGAUAGAAAUAGAUUCCAAGUGCCUUUUAUUUAAGGCCUUGGACAAGGAACAAAUGGUACUUUUAACUCAUGGAGAUAGUAUAGAUAGGGUGGCUGAUAGUUUUCACGUUACUGCCAGAUCGUCAAACUUUAUAGCAGCGAUAGCGAGCGACAAAAUGAAUUUAUACGGGGUACAAUUUCACCCAGAGGUUGAUCUUACACCUAAUGGGAAACUGAUGUUAAACAAUUUUUUAUUUGGUAUUGCUGGUCUUACGGGUAACUAUACGCUUCGUGGUCGGGAAGCACAGUGUAUUCAAUAUAUCAGAGAUACUGUUGGCAACAAGAAAGUUUUGUUGUUAGUGAGCGGCGGUGUGGAUUCCACAGUAUGUGCGGCGCUGUUACAUAAAGCUUUAAAUAAGGAUCAAGUCAUAGCUCUGCAUAUCAACAACGGCUUCAUGCGGAAAGGAGAGACACAAUUUGUGGAGCAAAGUUUGGCAGAUUUAGGAAUCCGACUGAGAGUAGUCAAUGCCGUACGUUGGUUCAUGCAAGGAACCACAUCUGUUCCGUUGGACAAUGUCACUCCGGUAGUCAACGCGAACACCGUGAACAACAAAGGAAUAUGUGGAACAGCGACAAGCCCAAGAACUAGAUUAACUAAAGUGCUGUGUGCAACAACAAAUCCGGAAGAAAAGCGAAAAAUUAUAGGUGACGUUUUUGUAAAGGUAGCAAACGAAGCAAUGGCAGAAAUGGGUUUAAAGCCAGAGGAAGUGUUUCUUGGGCAAGGCACUCUUAGGCCUGAUCUUAUAGAAAGUGCAAAUGCAUUAGCUAGUGGUAAAGCGGACGCGAUAAAGACACAUCACAACGACAGUGAUCUCGUUAGAGCUUUGAGAGAACAAGGACAGGUAGUAGAACCAUUAAAAGAUUUUCACAAGGAUGAAGUAAGACAAUUAGGACGCGACCUUGGAUUACCGUCAUCGCUAGUAUCUCGUCAUCCGUUUCCUGGACCGGGGCUCGCUGUACGUAUUCUUUGCGCGGAGGAACCUUACAUGGAUAAAGAUUUCCCAGAAACGCAGGUGAUAGUCAAAAUAAUGGCAGAAUACGAACAAAUGCUCCAAAAGAAACACGGACUAUUAAAUCGCGUAGAAGAUGCGACUAGUGAAUCCGAACGCCAAUACUUGCGACAAUUGUCUAGUUAUCGUCAUAUCGCUGCAACGCUUUUACCUAUACGUAGUGUAGGAGUACAGAGACCAAACAUUUGCUCUAAGAAAAUAAAUGUCAAAACAGUGUGAGGACCUAAACGAGCAUAGUAAGGGAAGAAACCUUUCCAUAAUGAGAACAAUCCCUCAUUUCUACACACUUGAACAAUGACAUCUAUUGCACCUUUAAACUCUGGCUUACCAUCCACAAUUUUCAUGUUUUGAAUCCUCAAUAUCAACUGGCAUAGAAGCAGCAGUUGUUACUAAACCUGAUAUCAUGGAACUUACAAAGUGUAAUGAAAUACCCUCUUCAAAAUACCCUAUUUAAACAAAAUAAAAAAAAGGAAUAUAACUAAUCA
RNAcentral lists this unclassified non-coding RNA (2133 nucleotides) under Megachile rotundata (alfalfa leafcutting bee). RNAcentral's name for it is "gMP synthase [glutamine-hydrolyzing], transcript variant X1". Lineage: Eukaryota; Metazoa; Arthropoda; Insecta; Hymenoptera; Megachilidae. The record is from RNAcentral.